RNAcentral lists this ribosomal RNA (2901 nucleotides) under Escherichia coli. RNAcentral describes it as "23S ribosomal RNA". It matches the Rfam family "Bacterial large subunit ribosomal RNA". The record is from RNAcentral. Lineage: Bacteria; Pseudomonadati; Pseudomonadota; Gammaproteobacteria; Enterobacterales; Enterobacteriaceae.
UUAAGCGACUAAGCGUACACGGUGGAUGCCCUGGCAGUCAGAGGCGAUGAAGGACGUGCUAAUCUGCGAUAAGCGUCGGUAAGGUGAUAUGAACCGUUAUAACCGGCGAUUUCCGAAUGGGGAAACCCAGUGUGUUUCGACACACUAUCAUUAACUGAAUCCAUAGGUUAAUGAGGCGAACCGGGGGAACUGAAACAUCUAAGUACCCCGAGGAAAAGAAAUCAACCGAGAUUCCCCCAGUAGCGGCGAGCGAACGGGGAGCAGCCCAGAGCCUGAAUCAGUGUGUGUGUUAGUGGAAGCGUCUGGAAAGGCGCGCGAUACAGGGUGACAGCCCCGUACACAAAAAUGCACAUGCUGUGAGCUCGAUGAGUAGGGCGGGACACGUGGUAUCCUGUCUGAAUAUGGGGGGACCAUCCUCCAAGGCUAAAUACUCCUGACUGACCGAUAGUGAACCAGUACCGUGAGGGAAAGGCGAAAAGAACCCCGGCGAGGGGAGUGAAAAAGAACCUGAAACCGUGUACGUACAAGCAGUGGGAGCACGCUUAGGCGUGUGACUGCGUACCUUUUGUAUAAUGGGUCAGCGACUUAUAUUCUGUAGCAAGGUUAACCGAAUAGGGGAGCCGAAGGGAAACCGAGUCUUAACUGGGCGUUAAGUUGCAGGGUAUAGACCCGAAACCCGGUGAUCUAGCCAUGGGCAGGUUGAAGGUUGGGUAACACUAACUGGAGGACCGAACCGACUAAUGUUGAAAAAUUAGCGGAUGACUUGUGGCUGGGGGUGAAAGGCCAAUCAAACCGGGAGAUAGCUGGUUCUCCCCGAAAGCUAUUUAGGUAGCGCCUCGUGAAUUCAUCUCCGGGGGUAGAGCACUGUUUCGGCAAGGGGGUCAUCCCGACUUACCAACCCGAUGCAAACUGCGAAUACCGGAGAAUGUUAUCACGGGAGACACACGGCGGGUGCUAACGUCCGUCGUGAAGAGGGAAACAACCCAGACCGCCAGCUAAGGUCCCAAAGUCAUGGUUAAGUGGGAAACGAUGUGGGAAGGCCCAGACAGCCAGGAUGUUGGCUUAGAAGCAGCCAUCAUUUAAAGAAAGCGUAAUAGCUCACUGGUCGAGUCGGCCUGCGCGGAAGAUGUAACGGGGCUAAACCAUGCACCGAAGCUGCGGCAGCGACGCUGAUGCGUUGUUGGGUAGGGGAGCGUUCUGUAAGCCUGUGAAGGUGUACUGUGAGGUAUGCUGGAGGUAUCAGAAGUGCGAAUGCUGACAUAAGUAACGAUAAAGCGGGUGAAAAGCCCGCUCGCCGGAAGACCAAGGGUUCCUGUCCAACGUUAAUCGGGGCAGGGUGAGUCGACCCCUAAGGCGAGGCCGAAAGGCGUAGUCGAUGGGAAACAGGUUAAUAUUCCUGUACUUGGUGUUACUGCGAAGGGGGACGGAGAAGGCUAUGUUGGCCGGGCGACGGUUGUCCCGGUUUAAGCGUGUAGGCUGGUUUUCCAGGCAAAUCCGGAAAAUCAAGGCUGAGGCGUGAUGACGAGGCACUACGGUGCUGAAGCAACAAAUGCCCUGCUUCCAGGAAAAGCCUCUAAGCAUCAGGUAACAUCAAAUCGUACCCCAAACCGACACAGGUGGUCAGGUAGAGAAUACCAAGGCGCUUGAGAGAACUCGGGUGAAGGAACUAGGCAAAAUGGUGCCGUAACUUCGGGAGAAGGCACGCUGAUAUGUAGGUGAAGUCCCUCGCGGAUGGAGCUGAAAUCAGUCGAAGAUACCAGCUGGCUGCAACUGUUUAUUAAAAACACAGCACUGUGCAAACACGAAAGUGGACGUAUACGGUGUGACGCCUGCCCGGUGCCGGAAGGUUAAUUGAUGGGGUCAGCGCAAGCGAAGCUCUUGAUCGAAGCCCCGGUAAACGGCGGCCGUAACUAUAACGGUCCUAAGGUAGCGAAAUUCCUUGUCGGGUAAGUUCCGACCUGCACGAAUGGCGUAAUGAUGGCCAGGCUGUCUCCACCCGAGACUCAGUGAAAUUGAACUCGCUGUGAAGAUGCAGUGUACCCGCGGCAAGACGGAAAGACCCCGUGAACCUUUACUAUAGCUUGACACUGAACAUUGAGCCUUGAUGUGUAGGAUAGGUGGGAGGCUUGGAAGUGUGGACGCCAGUCUGCAUGGAGCCGACCUUGAAAUACCACCCUUUAAUGUUUGAUGUUCUAACGUUGACCCGUAAUCCGGGUUGCGGACAGUGUCUGGUGGGUAGUUUGACUGGGGCGGUCUCCUCCUAAAGAGUAACGGAGGAGCACGAAGGUUGGCUAAUCCUGGUCGGACAUCAGGAGGUUAGUGCAAUGGCAUAAGCCAGCUUGACUGCGAGCGUGACGGCGCGAGCAGGUGCGAAAGCAGGUCAUAGUGAUCCGGUGGUUCUGAAUGGAAGGGCCAUCGCUCAACGGAUAAAAGGUACUCCGGGGAUAACAGGCUGAUACCGCCCAAGAGUUCAUAUCGACGGCGGUGUUUGGCACCUCGAUGUCGGCUCAUCACAUCCUGGGGCUGAAGUAGGUCCCAAGGGUAUGGCUGUUCGCCAUUUAAAGUGGUACGCGAGCUGGGUUUAGAACGUCGUGAGACAGUUCGGUCCCUAUCUGCCGUGGGCGCUGGAGAACUGAGGGGGGCUGCUCCUAGUACGAGAGGACCGGAGUGGACGCAUCACUGGUGUUCGGGUUGUCAUGCCAAUGGCACUGCCCGGUAGCUAAAUGCGGAAGAGAUAAGUGCUGAAAGCAUCUAAGCACGAAACUUGCCCCGAGAUGAGUUUUCCCUGACCCUUUAAGGGUCCUGAAGGAACGUUGAAGACGACGACGUUGAUAGGCCGGGUGUGUAAGCGCAGCGAUGCGUUGAGCUAACCGGUACUAAUGAACCGUGAGGCUUAACCUU